This 415-nucleotide ribosomal RNA is filed under the name uncultured bacterium. RNAcentral's name for it is "bacterial SSU rRNA". It matches the Rfam family "Bacterial small subunit ribosomal RNA", at positions 355 to 786 of the family's 1533-position model. The record is from RNAcentral.
UGGGGAAUAUUGCACAAUGGGGGAAACCCUGAUGCAGCGACGCCGCGUGAAGGAAGAAGUAUCUCGGUAUGUAAACUUCUAUCAGCAGGGAAGAAAAUGACGGUACCUGACUAAGAAGCCCCGGCUAACUACGUGCCAGCAGCCGCGGUAAUACGUAGGGGGCAAGCGUUAUCCGGAUUUACUGGGUGUAAAGGGAGCGUAGACGGAGCAGCAAGUCUGAUGUGAAAGGCGGGGGCUCAACCCCCGGACUGCAUUGGAAACUGUUGAUCUUGAGUACCGGAGAGGUAAGCGGAAUUCCUAGUGUAGCGGUGAAAUGCGUAGAUAUUAGGAGGAACACAGUGCGAAGGCGGCUUACUGGACGGUAACUGACGUUGAGGCUCGAAAAGCGUGGGGGAGCAAAACAGGAUUAGAUACC